AAAUUGAAGAGUUUGAUCAUGGCUCAGAUUGAACGCUGGCGGCAGGCCUAACACAUGCAAGUCGAGCGGUAGCACAGAGAGCUUGCUCUCGGGUGACGAGCGGCGGACGGGUGAGUAAUGUCUGGGAAACUGCCUGAUGGAGGGGGAUAACUACUGGAAACGGUAGCUAAUACCGCAUAACGUCGCAAGACCAAAGUGGGGGACCUUCGGGCCUCAUGCCAUCAGAUGUGCCCAGAUGGGAUUAGCUAGUAGGUGGGGUAA
RNAcentral lists this ribosomal RNA (261 nucleotides) under Escherichia coli. Its description in RNAcentral is "partial 16S ribosomal RNA". It matches the Rfam family "Bacterial small subunit ribosomal RNA", at positions 1 to 260 of the family's 1533-position model. Lineage: Bacteria; Pseudomonadati; Pseudomonadota; Gammaproteobacteria; Enterobacterales; Enterobacteriaceae. The record is from RNAcentral. RNAcentral also lists the same sequence under 6 other names.